GGUGGUCAUGCAGGGAUUACAAAUCCCACAUGGGGAAAGUAAAAACAAAAUUAAAAAAUUAAAAAGUGAAUAUAAGUGGAUGGUUUGCCACAUUUACUUGGCUUGUUGGUCAGCGCAAGACUAACAACCAGGAAGAGAGAACAGAACCUUAAAGGAAGAACUUGAUGAAUCAUUUGCAUUUCAACGAACUGAACUCAGGACUCUCCUAAUCCAACUACAACACAUAAGCACUACCCAAACAAAUCAGCGACGCCAUACAAAAGGAUCCAUCAUAAACAAACCCAAUUUUAAACACAAAUUCAUGAGCCAACCACCCUUUAUCAAAACAAAGAGCCAAACCCAGAUUUUAACACUGCAAAAAGCUGACAAAACUCCAAUUGAAAACCCACCCAAUGGAAUCAAUGUCCAGAAAAACCCAAUACUUCAUAGAAACUCAAGGCUUUUCACGAACAAUAUAAAAUGAAAGAAUAACAAAAUAAAAAAUAUAAACUAACAUGCUGCAAACCGCAAGAAUCGAAGUGGCAAAUAAACUCAC
This 535-nucleotide unclassified non-coding RNA is filed under the name Hevea brasiliensis (rubber tree). The record is from RNAcentral. Lineage: Eukaryota; Viridiplantae; Streptophyta; Magnoliopsida; Malpighiales; Euphorbiaceae.